GCGAGGGUAGCCAAGCCAGGUCAGGCGACAGACUCAAGAUCUGUUCCGUAGAGGUUCAGGGGUUCAAAUCCCUUCCCUCGCACCA
RNAcentral lists this transfer RNA (85 nucleotides) under Candidatus Methanomassiliicoccus intestinalis Issoire-Mx1. RNAcentral's name for it is "tRNA-Leu (CAA) (tRNA-Leu-CAA-1-1)". It matches the Rfam family "tRNA". Rfam says of the family: Transfer RNA (tRNA) molecules are approximately 80 nucleotides in length. Their secondary structure includes four short double-helical elements and three loops (D, anti-codon, and T loops). Further hydrogen bonds mediate the characteristic L-shaped molecular structure. tRNAs have two regions of fundamental functional importance: the anti-codon, which is responsible for specific mRNA codon recognition, and the 3' end, to which the tRNAs corresponding amino acid is attached (by aminoacyl-tRNA synthetases). tRNAs cope with the degeneracy of the genetic code in two manners: having more than one tRNA (with a specific anti-codon) for a particular amino acid; and 'wobble' base-pairing, i.e. permitting non-standard base-pairing at the 3rd anti-codon position. Lineage: Archaea; Methanobacteriati; Thermoplasmatota; Thermoplasmata; Methanomassiliicoccales; Methanomassiliicoccaceae. The record is from RNAcentral.